AUAAAGGCCAAGAAUGGGACAAGUACCUUUUGCUUUGCACCAGAGAGCCGCGGGUCGGUGUAACGCGGCAGCAAGUUGAAGUGAAAUCCACCCGGGAGCCUGCGCGAGAAGCGUCAACGGAAACCCCCGUUAACGGGCAGAAUUGAGGCCGCAUCUACUCCUUCAUCACUAAUUUAGUGCUUCGAGUUCAGCGGUGAAUCUAGGUGGCACCACGGCAAAUACGUUUUCAGCGUUGUCGUCCUGUAU
This is a non-coding RNA of Ktedonobacter sp. 13_2_20CM_53_11, 246 nucleotides long. Lineage: Bacteria; Bacillati; Chloroflexota; Ktedonobacteria; Ktedonobacterales; Ktedonobacteraceae. The record is from Rfam.